Molecule: long non-coding RNA, 1476 nt
Filed under: Homo sapiens (human)
Lineage: Eukaryota; Metazoa; Chordata; Mammalia; Primates; Hominidae
Description: non-protein coding lnc-UAP1L1-4:1
Source: RNAcentral
CAGGCUUUCUGGCUGGAUGCGCCUCCCCUGGAGCUACCUUUUGCUCAUCACAGCAGGUACUGUGUGUGUGUGUGUAUGUGCAUGUGUGUUUUCAGGUUUUUUACUGUGAUAAAACACACAAAACGCACCACCUUAACCAUUUCCAGGCGUGGUCGGUGGUGUUACAUUCACGCUGUUGCAGGCGUGCAGGUCGGUGGUGUUACACACAUUCACACUGUUGCAGGCGUGCAGGUCGGUGGUGUUACACACAUUUGGGCUGUUGCAGGCGUACAGGUCAGUGGUGUUACACACAUGCUGUUGCAGGAGUACAGGUCGGUGGUGUUACACACAUUCAUGCUGUUGCAGGCGUGCAGGUUGGUGCUGUUACACACAUGCUGUUGCAGGAGUACAGGUCGGUGGUGUUACAUGCUGUUGCAGGCGUGCAGGUCGGUGGUGUUACAUUCACGCUGUUGCAGGCGUGCAGGUCGGUGCUGUUACACACAUUCCUGCUGUUGCAGGAGUACAGGUCGGUGGUGUUACACGUGCUGUUGCAGGUGUGCAGGUCGGUGGUGGUACACACAUUCAUGCUGUUGCAGGAGUAUAGGUCGGUGGUGUUACACACAUUCACGCUGUUGCAGACGUGCAGGUCAGUGCUGUUACACACGCUGUUGCAGGCGUGCAGGUUGGUGGUGUUACAUUCACACUGUUGCAGGCGUGCAGGUCGGUGGUGUUACACACAUUCAUUCUGUUGCAGGCGUGCAGGUCAGUGUUACACACAUUCACGCUGUUGCAGGCGUGCAGGUCGGUGGUGUUACACACAUUCACGCUGUUGCAGAUGUGCAGGUCGGUGCUGUUACAUUCACGCUGUUGCAAGCGUGCAGGUCGGUGGUGUUACAUUCACGCUGUUGCUGGCGUGCAGGUCGGUGGUGUUACACACAUUCACACUGUUGCAGACAUGCAGGUCGGUGCUGUUACACACAUUCAUGCUGUUGCAGGCGUGCAGGUCGGUGGUGUUACAUUCACACUUGCAGGCGUGCAGGUCGGUGGUGUUACACACAUUCAUGCUGUUGCAGGCGUGCAGGUCGGUGGUGUUACACACAUUCACACUGUUGCAGGCGUGCAGGUCGGUGGUGUUACAUUCAUGCUGUUGCAGGCGUGCAGGUCAGUGGUGUUACACACAUUCACGCUGUUGCAGGCGUGCAGGUCGGUGGUACACACAUUCAUGCUGUUGCAGGCGUGCAGGUCGGUGGUGUUGCACAUUCAUGCUGUUGCAGGCAUGCAGGUCGGUGGUGUUACAUUCACGCUGUUGCAGGAGUACAGGUCAGUGGUGUUACACACAUUCAUGCUGUUGUGCAGCUAUCACUUCCAUCUCCAGAGCCCUUUUCAUCUUAAAACUGAAGCUCUCCCAUCACACAGUGACCCUUCAUGUCCCUCCCCAGUCCCUGAAAAACACUGUUCAGGUUUUUCUUCCUGGACCUCAUUGUGUGGAGUUCCUCG